Molecule: ribosomal RNA, 647 nt
Filed under: Sphingomonas sp. A52C6
Lineage: Bacteria; Pseudomonadati; Pseudomonadota; Alphaproteobacteria; Sphingomonadales; Sphingomonadaceae
Description: bacterial SSU rRNA
Rfam family: Bacterial small subunit ribosomal RNA
Source: RNAcentral
GCAGUCGAACGAUGCUUUCGGGCAUAGUGGCGCACGGGUGCGUAACGCGUGGGAAUCUGCCUUGGGGUACGGAAUAACUCAGAGAAAUUUGAGCUAAUACCGUAUGAUGUCUUCGGACCAAAGAUUUAUCGCCCUGAGAUGAGCCCGCGUAGGAUUAGCUAGUUGGUGGGGUAAAGGCCUACCAAGGCGACGAUCCUUAGCUGGUCUGAGAGGAUGAUCAGCCACACUGGGACUGAGACACGGCCCAGACUCCUACGGGAGGCAGCAGUGGGGAAUAUUGGACAAUGGGCGAAAGCCUGAUCCAGCAAUGCCGCGUGAGUGAUGAAGGCCUUAGGGUUGUAAAGCUCUUUUACCCGGGAAGAUAAUGACUGUACCGGGAGAAUAAGCCCCGGCUAACUCCGUGCCAGCAGCCGCGGUAAUACGGAGGGGGCUAGCGUUGUUCGGAAUUACUGGGCGUAAAGCGCACGUAGGCGGCUUGGUAAGUUAGAGGUGAAAGCCUGGAGCUCAACUCCAGAAUUGCCUUUAAGACUGCCGAGCUAGCAGGUGAGAGAGGUAAGUGGAAUUCCGAGUGUAGAGGUGAAAUUCGUAGAUAUUCGGAAGAACACCAGUGGCGAAGGCGGCUUACUGGCUCAUACUGGACGCUGAGG